Non-coding RNA from Misgurnus anguillicaudatus (oriental weatherfish), 1140 nucleotides. Lineage: Eukaryota; Metazoa; Chordata; Actinopteri; Cypriniformes; Cobitidae. The record is from RefSeq and is a predicted model, not a curated record.
UUAGCGACUUUCCACAAGUACACCUGGCUGCAGCCUGCAGAUUUGGGCGAGGAUGCACCUGGUACGGGACUGCACGUGCAGGCCCUCCCACACUGCUUCUCAUUGGACGGGACUGCACGUGCAGGCCCUCCCACACUGCUUCUCAUUGGUUAGUGGCGUGAAGUCAUGACGUCGAUUUAGCAAGUUUUCAUUUCCGAUGUUUAUCGCUGCAUGCCUGUCAUGCCUUGCAUUAGUGUCUGGUGCUUUUGGAGAAUUCAUCCGUUGAGGUUUGUUUGUUUUCUUUUUUUUUAAUACACACUGUUCAUUGAAGCUUCAAUUACCAAAUGCUUAAUUUUAGCAUUUAAAAAAAAAUGUUUUUAACUAUAAUUAUAAAUUCAUUACAUGUAUUAAUCUAAACAAGUGGAUUUCAAUUAUGGUCCUAAGGGAUGUCAUUAAGAACAAACUGUCUUUAUGAGACUUUAUAUUUUAAACUUUUGAAGGUCAGAGAUGCUGAAAGUGCAACUCCAGUAAAAGAGGAGAGUAGAGAGCAGGUACUGGUUCCCAUUUCAAAUCUUGAACCUAAAUAACAGGGGUUUGAAAAUGAUGCUACUCUUGUUCUUACUCUCCAAUUUAGAGGUGAUGAAAUCCCCCUGCAUGUUGGUUAUUUGACCAAGAUGCCGAUUGACAUCCUCUGGCGGAUCCUCAUGGAAGUCGUUACAGAGACGGCGUUGUGGCUUUCUGGAGACUUUCACUGAUGUGCAAGGUCUUCAUGGACGUUGUCAGCAAACCCAAAUUCACUGUAUGGCUGGACAGUAAGUUUUUUAAAAUCUAUAUUGUGAGUACUGUAAAAGAUAAUUGAGAAAGUCGGUCUGUCCGUCCAUCCAAUUCUGUUUCUUCAUUUGUGCAAUCUAUCUAUCUGUCUGUUCUUCCUAUCUAUUUGUCUGUCUGUCUGUCUGUCUAUCUAUCCGUCUCUGUCUGUCUAUCUCUACCUAUCUGUCAUGUCUAUCCAUCCGUCUGUCUGUGUCUGAUAGACUGUAUUGCCUUCAAAACUUUCAGCUUGAAAACUACUUUGAUCUGCAAACUGAAAAUCUUCUAUUUCAAACUUUUAAGAUAGGCUUUCUCAAGUCAAAUUUAAGUUUGUGUUGACAAAUUUUUUUUAAC